This 253-nucleotide ribosomal RNA is filed under the name uncultured bacterium. Its description in RNAcentral is "partial 16S ribosomal RNA". It matches the Rfam family "Bacterial small subunit ribosomal RNA", at positions 524 to 776 of the family's 1533-position model. The record is from RNAcentral.
UACGUAGGGUGCGAGCGUUAAUCGGAAUUACUGGGCGUAAAGCGUGCGCAGGCGGUUCGUUGUGUCUGAUGUGAAAGCCCCGGGCCUAACCUGGGAAUGGCAUUGGAAACUGGCGAGCUGGAGUGUGGCAGAGGGGGGUGGAAUUCCGCGUGUAGCAGUGAAAUGCGUAGAGAUGCGGAGGAACACCGAUGGCGAAGGCAGCCCCCUGGGCCAACACUGACGCUCAGGCACGAAAGCGUGGGGAGCAAACAGG